GGAUGAAUAUUCGUCAAUGGGGGAACCCUGAACGAGCAACGCCGCGUGGAGGAUGAAGGCCCUUGGGUUGUAAACUCCUUUUCGGAGGGAAGAGGAAGGACGGUACCUUCGGAAUAAGUCACGGCUAACUACGUGCCAGCAGCCGCGGUAAUACGUAGGUGGCAAGCGUUAUCCGGAAUUACUGGGCGUAAAGCGCACGCAGGCGGCUGUCCAAGUCUGACGUGAAAGCUCCUGGCUUAACUGGGAGAGG
RNAcentral lists this ribosomal RNA (250 nucleotides) under uncultured bacterium. Its description in RNAcentral is "partial 16S ribosomal RNA". It matches the Rfam family "Bacterial small subunit ribosomal RNA", at positions 355 to 622 of the family's 1533-position model. The record is from RNAcentral.